UACGGGGGGGGCAAGCGUUGUUCGGAAUUACUGGGCGUAAAGGGCUCGUAGGCGGCCAACUAAGUCAGACGUGAAAUCCCCAGGCUUAACCGGGGAACUGCGUCUGAUACUGGAUGGCUUGAAUCCGGGAGAGGGAUGCGGAAUUCCAGGUGUAGCGGUGAAAUGCGUAGAUAUCAGGAGGAACACCAGUGGCGAAGGCGGUGCUCUGGGCCGGAACUGACGCUGAGGAGCGAAAGCGUGGGGAGCAAACAGG
This 253-nucleotide ribosomal RNA is filed under the name uncultured bacterium. RNAcentral's name for it is "partial 16S ribosomal RNA". It matches the Rfam family "Bacterial small subunit ribosomal RNA", at positions 524 to 776 of the family's 1533-position model. The record is from RNAcentral.